GGGGGAGUAGACAUACUCAAUUCCAGUCUUUUUUAUCAGGGAUGUUUAGAAAUUAUCCAUUUCAUUAAAAUCACUUCCCCACUUCUUAUAGGAUUAUACUCACAUUUGGGGAAUAGAAUAUUCUUGAUUGUAAGCCUUUAUCUUUUGCAAUGUUGUAUUCUAUGUUCUCCUCUCCUUUUUAAUUAUGGCUACCAAGUCUUUUGUAAUCCUGACUGUGCUUUUUGGGGGCAGUAGUUGAACCCUUUCUUAUUUGCUGCUUGCAGUAUUUUUUCUUUGUUUUGGAAGUUCUGAAUUUUUGUUCUAAUAUUCUUGAGGGUUUCCAUUUUGGGUGGUGAACAGAGUUUUCUUUCUGGUUUUUUUUUUUACUUUACCUAAAAUAUAUGGGCAAUUUUCAUUUAGGAUUUCUUGCUUUUUUGUUAUUUUCUGAAUUUCAGUCAUCUGGUGAUUCUUAGAUGAUUUCUCCUUUAAUUAUUUCCCAGGUCAGUUCUUUUUUUUAUUUUUGGGUCAGUUUUUUAAGAAAUAUAUACCUUAAAUUUCCUUUUAUUAAAAAAUCAGUCUUUAGCUUUGCUUUUUUGUUGUUGUCAUGGUCUCAUGGAGACAUUGUUUUCUGUCAGUCUCUUCUAAUUUUCAGAGUUCAAUUCUUGACUAAGGUUUACUAUUCUCUGUUCUAAGGGAAUAAUUCUCCUUGCUCUUUUUUCCUUUCUAGUGUUAUUAUUUUUUUUCUCAUUUUGUUUCUCCCAGGUACUCUUGUAGUCCUUAUGGUCAGGCAUUCUUUUCUUGGAGGUUCUUUUUGGACUUGUGGAGUUCUCUCUUCUGGUUUACCAUUUGAGCUUCUCUCAGUGUGAAGUAUUUCUUUACUAUAUUCAGAAUGUUCUUUUUUUUACUCCUAUCUCUAGCCUUAUUUUCUAGAUUACAAAUUUGUGUUGGGUCAACUCUGCUCCUGUAUUCUUGAAGAUGCGGUUUAAUAUUCAGUUGUUAUCUAAGACCCAAGAGGCUUCACCUUCUGUAGGAAUUUUCUGUCCUUAUCUCCUACUGUGAUUCAGGUCCAGGCACCUUGGAUGUUGGUAGACAACCUAGAUUCCGGGUCAAGUGUGGUUGCCUGAAUGUCAGCUUGACCUUGUCUCUUAUUGUGGUUGAAGAUAGAGCCCCUGUGUCACCCUACAAUGGACCUCAGCAUUGGUCUGGUCCUGUUUUCUGUUAUGGAUGAAAAUAAGACCUCUUGAUCACUUUGUGCCAUGUUAGGUCUUUCUCUUGCAGGAAUGCUUUCGUUGGGUUGGCUCUCAUCCUCUUCUACCCUAGCUUGUCUCUUCUUCACACUUCUGCAGACUCCUGAAAGUAUCAUUGUACAGUCCUGGACAGGAUUUUCUAGGUUGUUGUUCAUUGUUCUAUCUCGUAAAUUUUUAGAGCUUCUGCAUUUUGGCAGACCAUAAGUUUAGGUCAACAUAUUACACAGUAUGGGAUGUUUCUGGGGGAUCUGGACUCUUUUAAGUUUUGACAUUGCCAUUUCCCCCACAAUUCUCCAGGAAACAUGUUUUACCUGUCAUGAUCAGCACUUUAUUUGAAAUUUUGCAUACUAGAGAGUUGUCUGAGGCACUGAGAUGUUAAGUUUAUUGCCCAAAGUCACCUAGCCAGUUUGUGUCAUAGGCAAAACUUGAAGCUGGUACUCUAACACCAUACUGCCCCUCAACAUGGAGGAAACAAUUCACAUAAUUAAUUGCACCUAAAUUAAUCAGUUACCUCAUAGUGGAUUAUUUUUAUAAUAGGUAUAGAAAAUCUUUCAUAAAAUAUAAACAAAUGUUCCUUUCGGCUAAAAAAAGUCUAUAAAACAAGCUUAGAAAGACUAUUUAAAAUAUUAUCGAGGUAUACUAUUUAAAACUAAGAGGUAACAUUAUUAGUAGCAGAAAAACAAUAAAAGUUUUCUUAAUAAGUUUAGUAAUGUAAUGAGAUCUCCAUUGUCCUCUAUUAUUAGACAUACUUCUAGAAAUGCUAGCAGUGGCCAUGAAACAAGAGAGAAAGAAAUGUAAGUAUUAACAAAAGCAGAGAGAAGACAAAAUUGACUCCAUUUUACAGUAACAUGAUGGGCUUUCCUAAAAAUCCCAGAGAAUCAGCAAAGAAAAACUAACUGAGAUAAUUAGUAGUUUCAGUCAAGUAGCAGGAUAUAAAAUAAAUUCUCAAAAAUCAGCAAUAUUAAUGAAUAGCAAAAACAACAUCCAGGAAGAAAUGUGAUAAAGAGCCAUAUCAUUCAAAAUAACUGUAAAAUGCACCAAAUAUGUGGUCAUCAAUUCACCAAGGCAUACUGAAGACUUAUAGAGAUGCAAUUAUAAACUCUUUAAAGAAAUACAUUUAAUUGGAAGUAUAGUCAUUGUUUAUGACUAGCUUUUCAAAUGUAAUAUUAAUGAUAGUACUAAAAUUAAUUUAUAAGAUUUAGAACUAUACAAAUGAAACUACUAAAGGGAUAACUUAUGAAGCUGGACAAAAUAACAACAUUCAGCUGGAAAUUAAAUGAUCAAGUUAAUAAAAAAAAAGUAGGGAUUAAAGAGAACUGUAUGGAAGAUCCUGUGCUAAGUACUAGAGAUUCAAGGAGAGGCAAAAGACAAUUCUUUCUCACAAAGAAUUUACAGUUUAAUGGGGAAGACAACAUGCAAACAAAUAUCUACAAAGCAACCUAUAUGCAGGAUAAAUAGGGAAUUAUUAAACUAAUUAAGCACACUAGAAUUAAGAGGUAGGGAAGAUUUCUUAUAAAAGAUGGGAUUUCAGUUGGAUUUUAAAGGAAGCUAGAGAAAUUGGUAGGUGGAACAGAGGAAGGAGAUUAUUCCAGGCAUUGGGACAGCCAGAGAAAAUUGCCUGAAGUCAAGAGAUGAAGUGUCUUGUUUAUGGAACAGCUAGAAGGCCAAGUCAUUAGGUUGGAGAGUUUGUGGCAGGAAAUAAGGUGUGAGAAUAUUGGAAAGGUGGAAGGCGUUGAUUAUGUUUGUCUUUGAAUGACAAAUAGGGCAUUUUAUAUUUGAUUCUGGAGAGGAUAGAGAAUCACUAGAGUUUGAGUAGGGGAAUGACUUGGUAAGACACAAAUGUUAGGAAAAUGACUUUAGUAGAUGAAUGGAAGGUGGAUUGGAGAGAGCUUUGAGGAAGAUAGACCCGCCAACAUGCUAUUGCAAUAGUUUGAACCUAAAGUGAUGAGCAUCAAAACCAGGCUGGUGGCAAUGUCAAAGGAGAGAACGGGGCAUCUAUGAGAGAUAGUGCAGGGGUGGUCAUUGGCAAUAAUUUGAAUAGGAGGGUGAGAUAUGGUGAGGAGUUUAGUAUAACUCUUCAGUGUGAGCUUACAGGGCUGAGAGGAGGAUGUCCUGCUCUACAAUAAUAGGGAAGGUUGGAAGGGAGAGGUUUAGGGGGAAAAAAAAGAUAAUUCAUUCUCUUUUGACAUGUUUAGUUUUAGAUGUCUACUAGACUUUCAGGUGGAGAUAUCUGAAAGGCAGCUGGAGAAGUAAGAUUGAAGACCAGCAGAGAGAUAAGGGCAGAUUUAAGAAUCAUCAUUAUAGAGACAGCAAUUUAAUCUGUGGGAGCUGAUAAAGUGAUGUAGUAUAGAGGGAGAAGAAAAAAGAACCCAGGCCAGAACUCUGAGGGACAUCUACCAUUAACGUGCUGGAAGUUCAAGUGAAGGGGACAGAGGAGAGGUCAGAUGGGUAGGAAAAAACUAGAAGAGAGUGGUGACCUGGCAACCUAGAGAGAAGCAAAUUUCAAGGAGUGAAGGAUGGUUGAGUGCCAAAGAAUUCAGAGAAGUCAAGAGAAUGAAGAUUCAGAAAAGGCCACGAGAUUUGACAUUAGUAACAUUGGAGAGAACAGUUUCAGUGGAACGAUAAAGUUGGUAAUUGCAUGGUAAGGGGAAUAAGAAGAGAAUGAGAAGAGAGAAAGUAGUAGGACCUAUUUUUUUGUUUUUUGGACAGUCUUUUCAAGAAAGUUAAUUGCAAAGGGCAUCGGAGAGAGACAGAGGGCGGCAGGGAUUAUAGGGAUGGAAGGAUAAAAUGUGUUUGUUUUUUUUUUUUUUCCAGGAUGGGAUGAGACACGAGUAUGUUUGCGGGUGAUAGGGAAGGAGCCAGUAGAGAGGGAGAGACUGAAAAUAAGUGACAGCGCAGAGAUGGCGGAGGGGACGGUCUAUUUGAGGAGACAGAAAGGAACGGAAUUGCUGGAACAAGUAUAGGAGUUGUCCUUGGUAAGGAGGAAACCAUUUUAUCCUGUGAAGUAAGCGUGAAGGAGACAGCGGGAGAAGACAUCUGGGUGACCGAUGAGGAAGAGGAAGAAAGGGGAGAUUGUGGUGAAUGAUCGCCUUUUCCCCGUAAAAUAGGAAGCCAGGUUUCCACUGGGAAGGCAGGGGGAGAGGGUGUCGCGAGAAGGUUGGGAAGGGAUGGAAAGUUUGGAAAAGCUACCAUGGAGAGAGAGAUACUAAGUUGAUAAGGGUGGGGUAGUGGGUAGUACAAUUGUCUAGCGUCCUGAGGACCCAUUUGAAGCUGUGAAAGGAAGCGAGCUGCGGUAAGGGUAGGGCUCUCUAUUGCUGUUUAUUUCGAUUUUUUGAAUUUGUUCAUUUCAUAUUUUAUAGAUGUUUAUCCAUUUUGUCUAUAACAGCUGGGGAUUUGGGUUUGGGGGUGCCUAUGGAUAACAUGAACCUCAGAGAGAUCAUUGAGCGAUGGAGGUGGGGGAGAGCCGGAAGUGGCAAUGGAGGACAAGGAGGAGUCCAACUCCCCUGGCUUGACCACGAAGCUGAGGAGAAUGAGUGAAGGGACAGCCUGGAGUGGAGUGGAAAUGGUGGCCGGGGAAGCUACGCCGUGGGGAAAAGAGCCGGGUUUCAGUAAUAGUUUAUAGUCAGAAGGAGUGGAAGAGGAAAAGAAUGAGGAGGGAGGAACGUUUGUUGUCUACGAAGCACACAUUCCAGAGGGCACGAUGGAGGGCUGGGUAAUAUUUGGCUGAAAGAUCCGGCUGAGAGUUGAAGAGGAUGGAGGUGAGGUGGGUGGGAAUGGGGUCUGGAAGGUGAUCUACAGGGGUUAUUACUGCUGCGUAAAGACUAGCAUCUACCUACCCAUCGCGGAUGUGGUAGCUCACCACCAGCGAGAGGUUAGAGAUUCAUCACAAUUCCUAGAGGAACAUCAGAAGCACUUGCAUUCCAGAACUUUUCUCCCCCAUUUUGGAACCCAGAUUGCUAUGCUAUAUCUUUCAAGAAACUCCUCUACUUAGAUAUUUACAGUGGAACUAUCAUAUUUGGACCCUAACAUUACAGUCUGAAUGAAGAAGUGGAAAUCACACUAAAGACUGAAAAAGAGUUGAACUUGACCACACUAUUUCGAAUCAAACAGCAAGCAUUUAUUGAGUUUUUAUUAAGCACCAAUCUAAGGCCAAAUUAAAAGGGGAAAGAGGUCCAGA
This is a long non-coding RNA of Monodelphis domestica (gray short-tailed opossum), 5403 nucleotides long. RefSeq lists it as uncharacterized. Lineage: Eukaryota; Metazoa; Chordata; Mammalia; Didelphimorphia; Didelphidae. The record is from RefSeq and is a predicted model, not a curated record.